Molecule: ribosomal RNA, 817 nt
Filed under: Miconia subvernicosa
Lineage: Eukaryota; Viridiplantae; Streptophyta; Magnoliopsida; Myrtales; Melastomataceae
Description: eukaryotic LSU rRNA
Source: RNAcentral
CCUGCGGACGGAGCAUUGUCGAAAUCGAACGGAAGAACGACCCGCGAAUCGUCAUUGCGUACUAGACAGAGCCCGCGAGCGCCUAACGCUCAUGGGGCUCGCGUCGCGUCGGCGCGGGUGUACUCGAGACCCGCGUCGCACCGGCGGACGAACAAAGUCAGCACGGAUCGUGCCAAGGAGCUUUAMGRAGAGWAUCGUCGUCCCACGCCUYCGAUAGUCCUCGAUGCGGGACGGGGGGCGGGGGAUGUACGCAAUCUCUACUCAAGUCAAAACGACUCUCGGCAACGGAUAUCUCGGCUCUUGCAUCGAUGAAGAACGUAGCGAAAUGCGAUACUUGGUGUGAAUUGCAGAAUCCCGCGAACCAUCAAAUCUUUGAACGCAAGUUGCGCCCGAAGCCAUUCGGCCGAGGGCACGCCUGCCUGGGUGUCGUGAAUCCCCUUGCCCCCUAGGCACCCCGCACGAGCAUCGGCGGGGACAUAUGCUCGGGCGCAGAAUGUGGUCUCCCGUGGGAUCGGCAGUGCAUGUCGAGGUGCGGUUGGCCGAAAAUCGAGCAUGGCGGUGACGGGCACCACGGCGUUCGGUGGAUCGAAUGAGAUUGGCUCCGCCGUGGGCUCGGCAUUCGGCGGGCUCCGGACUUUGAAUAUCCCCGAGUGCGAUCCCAGGUCAGGCGGGGCUACCCGCUGAGUUUAAGCAUAUCAUUAAGCGGAGGAAAAGAAACUAACGAGGAUUCCCUUAGUAGCGGCGAGCGAACCGGGAAGAGCCCAGCGUGAAAAUCGUCCGUCAUCGGCGGCCGAAUUGUAGUCUGGAGAAGCGUCCU